Molecule: long non-coding RNA, 707 nt
Organism: Gasterosteus aculeatus aculeatus (three-spined stickleback)
Lineage: Eukaryota; Metazoa; Chordata; Actinopteri; Perciformes; Gasterosteidae
Source: Ensembl
GUCAGAGUUAGGUCAAUGGAAUCCAACUAGAGCCUUAAGAGUCAGUGUUAGGUCAAUGGACUCCAACUUUAGCCCUAGCGGUCAGUGUUAGGUCAAUGGACUCCUACUAGAGCCUUAAGAGUCCGUGUUAGGUCAAUGGACUCCUACUAGAGCCUUAAGAGUCAGUGUUAGGUCAAUGGACUCCUACUAGAGUCUUAAGAGUCAGAGUUAGGUCAAUGGACUCCUACUAGAGCCUUAAGAGUCAGUGUUAGGUCAAUGGACUCCUACUAGAGUCUUAAGAGUCAGUGUUAGGUCAAUGGACUCCUACUAGAGCCUUAAAGAGUUAAACAUGAAUCUAUCACUUCUUUUCAACGUGACUUAAUCUUUUCAACAGUGAAAUUGUUGAAUAUUUUUGUAAAACGAACGCAAUGUGGUCAUGGCCGUCUUGCAAACGUAAAAUUAAAACGUAGAUAAAACAUUUUUUUUUUUUUUUGUGAAUUUGUGUCAUUUUAUUUAUGAUUAUGACCAUGAUCGUUACAUGAUGUUUGUAGCAUGAAUUACAUUAAUAUAUUUAUGUGCUACAGAUAUGUAUAUGGUUUUCUAUAUUUCAUUUUCAAAGCUUUACUGUAUUUAAACUUCACAGGAAAUAGCACAACAACAACAACAACAACGCCAUGAUGGUCAUCACACACAAAGCUGCAACUUUGUUUGCAAGAAGUAAAUGAAAC